RNAcentral lists this ribosomal RNA (396 nucleotides) under uncultured bacterium. RNAcentral describes it as "partial 16S ribosomal RNA". It matches the Rfam family "Bacterial small subunit ribosomal RNA", at positions 523 to 918 of the family's 1533-position model. The record is from RNAcentral.
AUACGUAGGGGGCGAGCGUUGUCCGGAUUUACUGGGUGUAAAGGGCGAGUAGGCGGGCUUGCGAGUCAGAUGUGAAAUACCGAGGCUCAACUUCGGGGCUGCAUUUGAAACUGCGAGUCUUGAGUGAUGGAGAGGCAGGCGGAAUUCCCAGUGUAGCGGUAAAAUGCAUAGAUAUUGGGAAGAACACCAGUGGCGAAGGCGGCCUGCUGGACAUUAACUGACGCUGAGGAGCGAAAGUGUGGGGAGCAAACAGGAUUAGAUACCCUGGUAGUCCACACCGUAAACGAUGGAUACUAGGUGUGCGGGGACUGACCCCCUGCGUGCCGCAGUUAACACAAUAAGUAUCCCACCUGGGGAGUACGAUCGCAAGAUUGAAACUCAAAUGAAUUGACGGGG